RNAcentral lists this ribosomal RNA (455 nucleotides) under uncultured bacterium. RNAcentral's name for it is "bacterial SSU rRNA". It matches the Rfam family "Bacterial small subunit ribosomal RNA", at positions 335 to 796 of the family's 1533-position model. The record is from RNAcentral.
ACUCCUACGGGAGGCAGCAGUGGGGAAUCUUGCGCAAUGGGCGAAAGCCUGACGCAGCAACGCCGCGUGAGCGAAGAAGGCCUUCGGGUCGUAAAGCUCUGUCAAGAGGGAAGAACAGACUUCGGUCCUGACGGUACCUCUGAAGGAAGCACCGGCUAACUCCGUGCCAGCAGCCGCGGUAAUACGGAGGGUGCAAACGUUGUUCGGAAUCAUUGGGCGUAAAGCGCGCGCAGGCUGUUGCGCAGGUCGGGUGUGAAAUUCCGGGGCUCAACCCCGGGUCUGCGCUCGAAACCGCGUAGCUGGAAUGCUGGAGGGGGAAGUGGAAUUCCUGGUGUAGGGGUGAAAUCCGUAGAUAUCAGGAGGAACACCGGCGGCGAAGGCGACUUCCUGGCCAGACAUUGACGCUGAGGCGCGAAAGCGUGGGUAGCGAACAGGAUUAGAAACCCCAGUAGUCC